GACGAACGCUGGCGGCGUGCUUAACACAUGCAAGUCGAACGAUGACGACCGAGCUUGCUCGGUCUGAUUAGUGGCGAACGGGUGAGUAACACGUGAGCAACCUGCCCUUCACUCUGGGAUAACCUCGGGAAAUCGGGGCUAAUACCGGAUAUGAGCUCCUGUCGCAUGGCGGGUGUUGGAAAGUUUUUCGGUGAAGGAUGGGCUCGCGGCCUAUCAGUUUGUUGGUGAGGUAGUGGCUCACCAAGGCGAUGACGGGUAGCCGGCCUGAGAGGGCGACCGGCCACACUGGGACUGAGACACGGCCCAGACUCCUACGGGAGGCAGCAGUGGGGAAUAUUACACAAUGGGCGAAAGCCUGAUGCAGCGACGCCGCGUGAGGGAUGACGGCCUUCGGGUUGUAAACCUCUUUCGGCAGGGAAGAAGCGAAAGUGACGGUACCUGCAGAAGAAGCGCCGGCUAACUACGUG
This 467-nucleotide ribosomal RNA is filed under the name uncultured bacterium. RNAcentral describes it as "partial 16S ribosomal RNA". It matches the Rfam family "Bacterial small subunit ribosomal RNA", at positions 28 to 507 of the family's 1533-position model. The record is from RNAcentral.